This 107-nucleotide small nuclear RNA is filed under the name Propithecus coquereli (Coquerel's sifaka). Lineage: Eukaryota; Metazoa; Chordata; Mammalia; Primates; Indriidae. The record is from RNAcentral.
GCGCUCACCUCUGCAGCAAAUAUACUAAAAUUGGAGUGAUACAGAGAAGAUUAGCAUGGCCCUUCUGCAAGGAUGACACACAAAUUUGUGAAAUAUUCCAUAUUUAA